AUACGGAGGCUGCAAGCGUUGUUCGGAAUCAUUGGGCGUAAAGCGGGUGUAGGCGGCUUGGCAAGUCGGAUGUGAAAUCCCAGGGCCCAACCCUGGAACUGCAUUCGAAACUGCCUCGCUAGAGUCCCGGAGAGGAUGGCGGAAUUCCCGGUGUAGGGGUGAAAUCCGUAGAUAUCGGGAGGAACACCAGUGGCGAAGGCGGCCAUCUGGACGGUGACUGACGCUCAGACCCGAAAGCGUGGGGAGCAAACAGGAUUAGAAACCCCGGUAGUCC
RNAcentral lists this ribosomal RNA (274 nucleotides) under uncultured bacterium. RNAcentral describes it as "partial 16S ribosomal RNA". It matches the Rfam family "Bacterial small subunit ribosomal RNA", at positions 523 to 796 of the family's 1533-position model. The record is from RNAcentral.